CAGUUGGUUUUGGUAGCACGGGAACUUCAGAUGGUUGUGGAUCUACUGUUGCAUGAGGCAAUGAAACAGUUUCUUCAGUAGAUUUCAAUGGAACAGUGCUAACUGCCUGUGGAACAGUGUUAACAGAUUUUGGGAAAACAGUGUCGCUUGCAUAAAUUGGCACCAGAACUUUCUUAGGUCGGCCUCUCCCUCUCGCCAUUGCACCCUCAGCGCAGGUUAAC
Molecule: long non-coding RNA, 221 nt
Filed under: Nicotiana benthamiana
Lineage: Eukaryota; Viridiplantae; Streptophyta; Magnoliopsida; Solanales; Solanaceae
Description: long non-coding RNA (NBEN_LNC011009)
Source: RNAcentral